Molecule: ribosomal RNA, 449 nt
Filed under: Hordeum pusillum
Lineage: Eukaryota; Viridiplantae; Streptophyta; Magnoliopsida; Poales; Poaceae
Source: RNAcentral
UUUUUAAUAUGUUUUUUGCUCCACGCGAGAAACAUGCAUACGUGCGCGGAAUAUAUUAAGCGCGGUUCCUUAUUCUUGACGUUUUAGGCAAGUUUUAGCUUGCGGGUCAUUAUCCACGCGUGUAGGGGCGUCCUUGUGGUGGAAAAGCGGUCGGGUACCGAAAGGGGUCGAGACCGUGGUAAGCACGACACGUGUACGUUGUUGAGCGGGAGAGUAAGUGGUACGGUGCAGUAUUCGUUAUUAGGAAGCGUUGUCAAAGAGUGCUCGAUCGUGUUUGUGGUGGAGCCGGGAGGCGGGAGCAUAAUGGACGAAGGCGGGGGAAACAUGUCGGAUGCGAUCAUACCAGCACUAAAGCACCGGAUCCCAUCAGAACUCCGAAGUUAAGCGUGCUUGGGCGAGAGUAGUACUAGGAUAGGUGACCUCCUGGGAAGUCCUCAUGUUGCAUUCCC